This 503-nucleotide ribosomal RNA is filed under the name Oeneis melissa. Its description in RNAcentral is "partial 16S rRNA". Lineage: Eukaryota; Metazoa; Arthropoda; Insecta; Lepidoptera; Nymphalidae. The record is from RNAcentral.
GAUUUUAAUGAUCGAACAGAUCAAAAUUUUAAACUUUUGCAUUUAAAUUUUAUCUUAAUCCAACAUCGAGGUCGCAAACUUUUUUUUUUAUUUGAACUAAAAAAAAAUAUUACGCUGUUAUCCCUAAGGUAAUUUUUUCUUAUAAUCAUUAUUAAUGGAUCAUUUAAUCAUUUAUUUAUGUUUAAUUUUUAAAAAAAGUUAAUUUAAUUUUUCUAUCACCCCAAUAUAAUAAUUAAUUUUAUUUUAAUAAAAAUUUUUAUAUAAUUUUAAAAUAAAAAUAAAUAUAAAACUCUAUAGGGUCUUCUCGUCUUUUAAAAUUAAUUUAGCUUUUUAACUAAAAAAUAAACUUCUAAAAAUAAAUAAGAGACAGUUUAUAUUUCAUCAAAUCUUUCAUACAAGUUUUCAAUUAAAAAACUAUUGAUUAUGCUACCUUUGUACAGUCAUUAUACUGCAGCCCUUUAAUUAUUAUCAGUGGGCAGAUUAGACCUUAAAUUAUAUUCAAA